GCAACGAGUCAGGUCUUUGGGUCUGCUUGCGGUUUGUUACGAACACAAGCUUACCUUAAAUGAAUUAGCUGGACUUCAGCAGAGUUGUUAAGUAACAUUUUGAACUCUCAUAAUAUGAAGUCUGCUUUCUAGUCAUAUCUUUCGAGAUAUAAUUUUUCUAUUUUGGCCUCAAAUCAGGUAGGACUACCCGCUGAACUUAA
Molecule: unclassified non-coding RNA, 200 nt
Filed under: soil metagenome
Description: partial contains internal transcribed spacer 2 and large subunit ribosomal RNA
Source: RNAcentral